UAGGAUAACAAUCAAUGCUGAAGGCUUUGACCAACUCUUCAGUGGAAGGUCUAUUAGCAUCUGCAUCAUCUCUUUUGAAAUAUUCCUCCUCCCCGUGUUCAUCAUAUUCUGCUCCCGAUUGAGAUAACACUUGUAAAGCAAGCUCAUAGAGUGGUGGAUGUAGCCUAGCUGCUUCACUUGUUCCUUUACUUGGACUUGAU
This 200-nucleotide long non-coding RNA is filed under the name Capsicum annuum. Its description in RNAcentral is "long non-coding RNA (CANN_LNC010571)". Lineage: Eukaryota; Viridiplantae; Streptophyta; Magnoliopsida; Solanales; Solanaceae. The record is from RNAcentral.